Molecule: ribosomal RNA, 503 nt
Filed under: uncultured bacterium
Lineage: Bacteria
Description: bacterial SSU rRNA
Rfam family: Bacterial small subunit ribosomal RNA
Source: RNAcentral
AGAGUUUGAUCAUGGCUCAGGAUGAACGCUAGCGGCAGGCUUAAUACAUGCAAGUCGAACGGCAGCGCGGGGCAACCUGGCGGCGAGUGGCGAACGGGUGAGUAAUAUAUCGGAACAUACCCUAGAGUGGGGGAUAACGUAGCGAAAGUUACGCUAAUACCGCAUACGCACUAAGGUGGAAAGUGGGGGAUUCGCAAGAACCUCAUGCUCAUGGAGUGGCCGAUAUCUGAUUAGCUAGUUGGUGAGGUAAAGGCUCACCAAGGCAACGAUCAGUAGCUGGUUUGAGAGAACGACCAGCCACACUGGAACUGAGACACGGUCCAGACUCCUACGGGAGGCAGCAGUGGGAAUUUUGGACAAUGGGGGCAACCCUGAUCCAGCAAUGCCGCGUGAGUGAAGAAGGCCUUCGGGUUGUAAAGCUCUUUUGUCAGGGAAGAAACGGUGAGGGCUAAUAUCUCUUGCUAAUGACGGUACCUGAAGAAUAAGCACCGGCUAACUACGUG